RNAcentral lists this ribosomal RNA (473 nucleotides) under uncultured organism. Its description in RNAcentral is "partial 16S ribosomal RNA". It matches the Rfam family "Bacterial small subunit ribosomal RNA", at positions 335 to 799 of the family's 1533-position model. The record is from RNAcentral.
ACUCCUGCGGGAGGCAGCAGUGGGGAAUAUUGCACAAUGGGCGCAAGCCUGAUGCAGCCAUGCCGCGUGUAUGAAGAAGGCCUUCGGGUUGUAAAGUACUUUCAGCGGGGAGGAAGGCGAUAAGGUUAAUAACCUUGUCGAUUGACGUUACCCGCAGAAGAAGCACCGGCUAACUCCGUGCCAGCAGCCGCGGUAAUACGGAGGGUGCAAGCGUUAAUCGGAAUUACUGGGCGUAAAGCGCACGCAGGCGGUCUGUCAAGUCGGAUGUGAAAUCCCCGGGCUCAACCUGGGAACUGCAUUCGAAACUGGCAGGCUAGAGUCUUGUAGAGGGGGGUAGAAUUCCAGGUGUAGCGGUGAAAUGCGUAGAGAUCUGGAGGAAUACCGGUGGCGAAGGCGGCCCCCUGGACAAAGACUGACGCUCAGGUGCGAAAGCGUGGGGAGCAAACAGGAUUAGAAACCCGAGUAGUCCCAUG